GACGAACGCUGGCGGCGUGCUUAACACAUGCAAGUCGUACGGUAAGGCCCUUUCGGGGGUACACGAGUGGCGAACGGGUGAGUAACACGUGAGUAACCUGCCCACAACUUUGGGAUAACGCUAGGAAACUGGUGCUAAUACUGGAUAUGUGCUCCUGCUGCAUGGUGGGGGUUGGAAAGCUCCGGCGGUUGUGGAUGGACUCGCGGCCUAUCAGCUUGUUGGUGGGGUAGUGGCCUACCAAGGCGGCGACGGGUAGCCGGCCUGAGAGGGUGACCGGCCACAUUGGGACUGAGAUACGGCCCAGACUCCUACGGGAGGCAGCAGUGGGGAAUAUGGCACAAUGGGCGCACGCCUGAUGCAGAAACGCCGCGUCCGGGAUAACGGCGUUCGGGUUGUAAACCGCUUUCAGCAGGGACGAAGCUUUUUGUGACGGUACCUGAAGAAGAAGCACCGGCUAACUACGUG
RNAcentral lists this ribosomal RNA (465 nucleotides) under uncultured bacterium. Its description in RNAcentral is "partial 16S ribosomal RNA". It matches the Rfam family "Bacterial small subunit ribosomal RNA", at positions 28 to 507 of the family's 1533-position model. The record is from RNAcentral.